GUCCAAGAUAGGCAGAGGUACUUUGCCCUAUAAUAUAAUUAGGAGAUCUAAUUGAAACCCAUGAGUGGAAGGCCUAGUCCCAAACAAAGGCCAGUGGGCUUUAAACUCUACAGGCAAGGCCUACACCCAUGCAACUAGGCCCAAGUUUUGAAUUUGAUAGAUUAAUCUGCAACGGCGCCGUUUUACACCCCGUCGUUUUCAACUGUAGAUCACCUCUGAGGCCUCUCAUUUCUGAGCGAUAAUGGCGAGAGAGGCAAUGCAGGAGCAGUGCAGCCUCUACGAAGCGUACUACGAGCUCCACGGCUUGGCCCAAGAG
Molecule: unclassified non-coding RNA, 316 nt
Filed under: Hevea brasiliensis (rubber tree)
Lineage: Eukaryota; Viridiplantae; Streptophyta; Magnoliopsida; Malpighiales; Euphorbiaceae
Source: RNAcentral